This 253-nucleotide ribosomal RNA is filed under the name uncultured bacterium. Its description in RNAcentral is "partial 16S ribosomal RNA". It matches the Rfam family "Bacterial small subunit ribosomal RNA", at positions 524 to 776 of the family's 1533-position model. The record is from RNAcentral.
UACGUAGGGUGCGAGCGUUAAUCGGAAUUACUGGGCGUAAAGGGCUCGUAGGUGGCCAACUAAGUCAGACGUGAAAUCCCUCAGCUUAACUGGGGAACUGCGUCUGAUACUGGAUGGCUUGAGUUUGGGAGAGGGAUGCGGAAUUCCAGGUGUAGCGGUGAAAUGCGUAGAUAUCUGGAGGAACACCGGUGGCGAAGGCGGCAUCCUGGACCAACACUGACACUGAGGAGCGAAAGCCAGGGGAGCAAACGGG